GGGAAAUCCAAGGGUGGUCAUCUUGUUGAAGGUAAGAUGAACUUUUCAUUGUGGUAACGUUAUGUUUUCACCAAAGUAACCACAAGAAAGCAUGUAAGAAACCAAAUCCUGCAUUCUGAUAACUUCAUCCAUAUUCAGUUUCAAACAGAUUUUCUAAUGCUGCACCUCACCUUCACUGUUUUUAAGUCGAGUAUUUUCUGCAUUUGUAUGUGUGUCUCUCUCCUUUUCCCCAACCAUCACAGAAGUGAGCAUCUUCAGUGUUGAAGCUGGCAACCACCAAUGUCUUCAGGAAGGAUCUAGAUCACCUCUAAAGAGACGAAGUCAGACAUCCUUGUGCUGCAGGUAAGAUGAGACAGGGAACACCACACUGUCCUAUUGUCACCCAAAAGUCUGAAUGCUUCAACUCCAGAAACAACUUUUCUCUGAUCAUUAAUCGUUUUCACAAAGGCGCAAGGUAACAUGGGUGUGCUUCAGCUGUUUUCCCAAAGUUAAGGCCCACCUAAGCUCGAUCUAUGCCUGUUUUUAUGUUGAUAACAUGUAAGGCUGGGUCGGUGUUUCCAAAGAUGCAACAACACAAGCUUCAACGAUCAAAAACACAACAAUCAAACCAAAAACAAGGUUUAAAAAGUGUUUUCAGCCACACAACCACAAACCAACAAAGUUCACAACGAUGCUUUCAAAGACAAUAUGGAAACGAACAACAUGGUUCAUGAGGUUCUUUCAGGGACAUGAUGGUAACACAAACAAGGUUUAAAUUGUGCUUUCAGUGACCCAACAACAAGGUUUAAAUGGUGCUUUCAAUGACAAAAGGGCAAAUCAACAAGGUUUAAGUGGUGCCCACAGGGACACAAUGGUAAUACAAGGUUUAAAUGGUGCUUUCAAUGACACAAGGGAAAACCAAAAGCUAACUCAAAAGCUUAACGACAACAGUCAAAAAAUCAAGAAAUGCUGAAAACACUAAAUAAAAACCAAACCAAAAAAAGAAAAUUCACAACCAACCAGAGAAUGGUUCAGCAUCACUCAAGGUUAAAAAGGGUUUUAUGACUCUAAAAAGGUUAUUUCUGUUUUCAUGAAACUUGGUUGACACAAAAAACUGCAAAAAUGUCAGUUGCAAGUUUUACCAAAUACUUGCUGAGCCCAUCAGUAAAAAAAAACAAACAAAAUCCAAAACGCAAAAAGCAAAACAACAACUCUUAAGGAAACAACAAAUCAGCAAAGUUCACUCAGUUCUCCAAAAGGAAACCAACUCAACAAGGACAACCUCAACUUCAACUUCAGGCCUCACCCACAUCUCCUCUACAGCUUCAACUAACAUGAGGGGGACAAUGAACUGUUACCAUAAAAUGUCUGUUUUUUUUUUUUUUUAGGGUUUUUUUUUUUGUUUGUUUCUCUCUUUUUGACCCUCCAGUCUGUAAAAAUCUAAGAUGUUUGUUUUAUUUAUUUUUUUGUUGUUGUUUUGUUUCUUUUUGACCCUCCAGUCUCUGUGAAAAUCUGAGAUCUGUACUUGUCAUGGUUUUUUGUGUCCUGUUAUUCUGUACGAGGUUUUUAUGCCUCCCUUUGGCUGCACAUGUAUGUCUCUGCUUUUCCCCUAAACAUGACGGAGGUGUCGAGCCGUGGCGUUGGAUGUGCUGACCACCACCAGGUCCUGGGAGGAUCUGAUGCUGCCCCACUUCGAUGAGCUGCUCCUCCAUCCAGACUGGGAAGUUUUUAAGAGUCACCGUCAAGCUGAAGGUUUCUGAAGUUCUCUUUUAAUGAUUUUGAGAAACUUUUCAAAGUUCUUGUAGUUGUUUUCACCGAGGUCCAAACACUCCAGCUUUUCUGGGGGUUUGUAGACGCCUAAGAGAAAAUUGAUUUUAAAUCUGUCUGUUGAAUCUUUUAAGUCUGUUUCCAAUGUAGUGACCCAUCUUUCUGCUUCUCCAAAAUCUAUCUUGUGUUGUUACAGUCUACAUCCAAGAAGACCCUGGCAGACCCCAUCACCUGCUGGACUCUGAGCUCCUGCAUACUGGGUUACAGGUGAGCAUGGAGUACAGAUUCCACCACCUACAAAAAAAAACUGGUACAGCAGUUUUAUUUGAUGCAUCCAGAUUUCCUAACCCCUGCCAAUUUUAAUCUCUCCCAAACACCAGUGCUUUGCCCUCUUUGAGGGACGGAUCUUCUUCAUUCUGGACCCCUUUAACUGAAGUCUGCACCAGCACAGAAACCUGCCUCUGGACACCAUCAGACUCUACCAGAUGCCGUGGGCACCAUCCCAGAGAAACCGGUACAUAAAACAGAGAAUGAUUCACUUAUAGGUUAAAAACUGUGCCGGUCUAAAGAAUAAAUUUGUCCUUUUGUUUUAGGACUACACCGAGACGUCGAUGACCCUCUCUUGCUCCAGGAACCGGCUGAAGAAUGAAGACAAAGACUUGGUCCCCUGUUUAGAGGUAAGUCAAUCUUUGCAAGUGGUCUUGCUUAUUUCAGUCAAAGUUUUAUGGUGAUAAAUUGAUGUUAACAGUCCACUAACUGGAUCUGAUCCCUGUCUGCCUUCUGUAGUCACCACCCUGCAGGCGGACUUCCUGUCUCACUGUGAGCCCGUAGACCUUCAACCUCGUCCAGAAAACCCUUACUCAGGACAUGGUGAGUGCGCCUUUCUCUUUCAGGCUCUACUUUGAGGAGCACACAUGGGCAGCUUUCUUAAAUCCUUCUAACAGAUGAGUCCGUUAAGAUGAUGAUAGUUGGAUGUUUUUACUCGAUGGGCAUAGAUAAACCCCCACAACCCAUGAAGAGUGCAAGCUUUGCUGUGUCACUGUCACUUUAUAGAUCUCCUCCACCUUUAUAUCGCUGACAUUAUCAGUAUUAUUGACAUUAUAGGAUUAUCACUGAGACCUUUUCUGACUGAUAGAAAACUAAAUGAAAACGAGGCAGAAUAUUCACUCAUGACAGUUUUCUUCAUUUACAGGAGGAUACUCGAGUCUCGACUGAGGACCCAGUGAUGAAGAUGGAUGACCUGUCUGUGACACAAGGGUCAUAGAGGAUAGUUCUGUACUGAUGAAUCUAUUAUAAAUUAUUCAUCUGUUUGACCAGAUGAUGUGUUGUUAAACUUGCUAACAUUUGAGUUUCUUUGGUGCAAACCUGUAAGAUCUACAGCUAGUAGAGUCUUCUUACAAUUGUAACCAGGUGGUUUUUGUGUUGUACUGAAUUUGCUUUCUCAUUAUAUUUGUAAAACUAAAUGUUUAAUCUGAGCUUCAUUUAUGGCUUAAACUUUGUUAAAUGGAGGCUGAAACUGUGACAGCAUGUAGAGAGCUUUUUAUCCACUGGGGUUUUUUUUCCUUCAAUAUUUUUCCCCAGCUGGUUUUUCAUCUCUACCUCCACCAAACUCACUCUGUACACAAAGCUUGUCUUAAAUGUCAUCUUUUUGGAUGCACAUAUUCUAUUUUGCUCAUAUUGCUUUGUCUUUAUUUUGUUCAUUUUUCUGUCAUGCUUUAUUCCUCUCUCUGCUCCGUGUUUUUUUGCAUUUGUAUUACACAUAUAACUAACUUUUCACAUAAUUUGUCUGAGUCAAUAACUCUCUGACAGUGAAAUACCGUGAUUGUGUUUGGUAAAACUUGUCAACUUGACUCUGUUUUUAAAUAAAGUUUUGUUUAAAUGGAAUCAAAAACUUUUCUCUGGAGGUCAGUUUUUUAUUUUGAUAACAUGCACAGUAGGUUAGAAAGUUUUAAAAUCAGAC
Xyrichtys novacula (pearly razorfish) is the source of this 3706-nucleotide non-coding RNA. The record is from the annotation of a GenBank genome assembly. NCBI's taxonomy places the organism in Eukaryota, Metazoa, Chordata, Actinopteri, Labriformes, Labridae.